GUAGGGGGCAAGCGUUGUCCGGAUUUAUUGGGCGUAAAGAGCUCGUAGGCGGUUCGAUAAGUCGGGUGUGAAACCUCCAGGCUCAACCUGGAGACGCCACCCGAUACUGUCGUGACUAGAGUCCAGUAGGGGAGCGUGGAAUUCCUGGUGUAGCGGUGAAAUGCGCAGAUAUCAGGAGGAACACCAGCGGCGAAGGCGGCGCUCUGGGCUGGAACUGACGCUGAGGAGCGAAAGCGUGGGGAGCGAACAGGAUUAGAUACCCUGGUAGUCCACGCCGUAAACGUUGGGUACUAGGUGUGGGGUCUUAUCAACGGAUUCCGUGCCGAAGCUAACGCAUUAAGUACCCCGCCUGGGGAGUACGGCCGCAAGGCUAAA
This 375-nucleotide ribosomal RNA is filed under the name uncultured bacterium. Its description in RNAcentral is "bacterial SSU rRNA". It matches the Rfam family "Bacterial small subunit ribosomal RNA", at positions 527 to 898 of the family's 1533-position model. The record is from RNAcentral.